GAUGAACGCUAGCUACAGGCUUAACACAUGCAAGUCGCGGGGCAGCAUGGGGGUUGCUUGCCAUCCCCGAUGGCGACCGGCGCACGGGUGAGUAACGCGUAUCCAACCUGCCCUUCACCACGGGAUAACCCGGCGAAAGUCGGGCUAAUACCGUAUGUUGUCCAUUGACGGCAUCCGAUUUGGACGAAAGGCUUGGCGGUGAGGGAUGGGGAUGCGUCCGAUUAGCCAGACGGCGGGGUAACGGCCCACCGUGGCCACGAUCGGUAGGGGUUCUGAGAGGAAGGUCCCCCACACUGGAACUGAGACACGGUCCAGACUCCUACGGGAGGCAGCAGUGAGGAAUAUUGGUCAAUGGGCGUAAGCCUGAACCAGCCAAGUAGCGUGCAGGAUGACGGCCCUAUGGGUUGUAAACUGCUUUUAUGCGGGGAUAAAGUGGCCCACGUGUGGGCUUUUGCAGGUACCGCAUGAAUAAGGACCGGCUAAUUCCGUG
Molecule: ribosomal RNA, 490 nt
Filed under: uncultured bacterium
Lineage: Bacteria
Description: partial 16S ribosomal RNA
Rfam family: Bacterial small subunit ribosomal RNA
Source: RNAcentral